This 408-nucleotide ribosomal RNA is filed under the name uncultured Fusobacterium sp. RNAcentral describes it as "bacterial SSU rRNA". It matches the Rfam family "Bacterial small subunit ribosomal RNA", at positions 354 to 776 of the family's 1533-position model. The record is from RNAcentral. Lineage: Bacteria; Fusobacteriati; Fusobacteriota; Fusobacteriia; Fusobacteriales; Fusobacteriaceae.
GUGGGGAAUAUUGGACAAUGGACCAAAAGUCUGAUCCAGCAAUUCUGUGUGCACGAUGACGUUUUUCGGAAUGUAAAGUGCUUUCAGUUGGGAAGAAAAAAAUGACGGUACCAACAGAAGAAGUGACGGCUAAAUACGUGCCAGCAGCCGCGGUAAUACGUAUGUCACAAGCGUUAUCCGGAUUUAUUGGGCGUAAAGCGCGUCUAGGUGGUUAUGUAAGUCUGAUGUGAAAAUGCAGGGCUCAACUCUGUAUUGCGUUGGAAACUGUGUAACUAGAGUACUGGAGAGGUAAGCGGAACUACAAGUGUAGAGGUGAAAUUCGUAGAUAUUUGUAGGAAUGCCGAUGGGGAAGCCAGCUUACUGGACAGAUACUGACGCUAAAGCGCGAAAGCGUGGGUAGCAAACAGG